Molecule: long non-coding RNA, 874 nt
Filed under: Pan troglodytes (chimpanzee)
Lineage: Eukaryota; Metazoa; Chordata; Mammalia; Primates; Hominidae
Description: lncRNA (ENSPTRG00000053972.1)
Source: RNAcentral
AUGGCGGUCCUGGCUGUGAUUGGAGGCAUCGAUGGUCGCCUGCGCCUGGGCGGUCAAGUUACGCACGAUGAGUUUGGAGAAGGCACCGUGACUCGCAUCACCCCAAAGGGCAAAAUCACUGUGCAGUUCUCUGACAUGCGGACGUGUCGCGUUUGCCCAUUGAAUCAGCUGAAACCACUCCCUGCCGUGGCCUUUAAUGUGAACAACCUGCCCUUCACAGAGCCCAUGCUGUCUGUCUGGGCUCAGUUGGUGAACCUCGCUGGAAGCAAGUUAGAAAAGCACAAAAUAAAGAAAUCGACUAAACAGGCCUUUGCAGGACAAGUGGACCUGGACCUGCUGCGGUGCCAGCAGUUGAAGCUAUACAUCCUGAAAGCAGGUCGGGCGCUGCUCUCCCACCAGGAUAAACUGCGGCAGAUCCUGUCUCAGCCAGCUGUUCAGGAGACUGGAACUGUUCACACAGAUGAUGGAGCAGUGGUAUCACCUGACCUUGGGGACAUGUCUCCUGAAGGGCCGCAGCCCCCCAUGAUCCUCUUGCAGCAGCUGCUGGCCUCGGCCACCCAGCCGUCUCCUGUGAAGGCCAUAUUUGAUAAACAGGAACUUGAGGUACAGCCAUGCAGCCUUGACAGUUUUUAAUCCACAGCACUAAAUUGUGAACACUUUUUUCUAGAUGUAUAUUUUCUUAAGGAUCUAUUCUGAAUGUUAAAUGAUAGUACGCAAAUAAUUCUAAUGAUUCAUUGGGGUUUAACCAUGUUUGUGCAUAGUCUGCAGAACAUUAUAAUACUAAAGACUGAGAGGGUUGAAGUUUAACCUUAUUUGUGGUUUGUGUAAAUUGUGAAAAAAUAUUAACUAGAUGCAGCAUGGGUUAAAUGCUCAC